GCAGUGGUGGUUCAGUGGUAGAAUUCUAACCUUCAGUGCAGGAGACCUGGGUUCGAUUCCUGACCAAUGCA
RNAcentral lists this transfer RNA (71 nucleotides) under Loxodonta africana (African savanna elephant). It matches the Rfam family "tRNA". Rfam says of the family: Transfer RNA (tRNA) molecules are approximately 80 nucleotides in length. Their secondary structure includes four short double-helical elements and three loops (D, anti-codon, and T loops). The record is from Rfam by way of RNAcentral. Lineage: Eukaryota; Metazoa; Chordata; Mammalia; Proboscidea; Elephantidae.